Molecule: long non-coding RNA, 215 nt
Filed under: Elaeis guineensis (African oil palm)
Lineage: Eukaryota; Viridiplantae; Streptophyta; Magnoliopsida; Arecales; Arecaceae
Description: long non-coding RNA (EGUI_LNC033803)
Source: RNAcentral
CUAUGUGGCUAACCAGAAGGGGAGGUUUUGGUGUGUAGAUGAUGGAAGGAGAAGGGGGCGAUACAAGGAGAAAACCCUAGUUUGAUUGCUUCUACAUGCCCAAGAGAACCCAUCCUUUUAUAGAUGGCGGCCAAGGGAUGGGAUAGAGUUCAAUUAUUUUUAAACUCUUAUCUGAUAAGAGCUUAAGUUAAAACUUAAACCAAUCCAAACCAGUC